Molecule: unclassified non-coding RNA, 265 nt
Filed under: air metagenome
Description: partial contains small subunit ribosomal RNA, internal transcribed spacer 1, and 5.8S ribosomal RNA
Rfam family: Eukaryotic small subunit ribosomal RNA (bases 1-46)
Source: RNAcentral
AAGUCGUAACAAGGUUUCCGUAGGUGAACCUGCGGAAGGAUCAUUAACGAGUCCAACCCAGCUUUUAAUUUAGCUGUGCAUUUACUUGCACGCCGAAUUAAUUGUUGGUCAUUGACUUUACACACCUGUGCACCUUUGCGAACUUCUGUAAAGUCGUUCGCUUUUUUACACCUUUUUUGAAUGUCUUUGAAUAUUCACGAUUGUACCGUAAUGGCGCAAUUGUUUAAAUAUAAUACAACUUUCAGCAACGGAUCUCUUGGCUCUC